This 277-nucleotide unclassified non-coding RNA is filed under the name Hevea brasiliensis (rubber tree). The record is from RNAcentral. Lineage: Eukaryota; Viridiplantae; Streptophyta; Magnoliopsida; Malpighiales; Euphorbiaceae.
UAUCAGCAGGCACAAAAGAGUAGAAGUCAGCCUCGUCUAUCUCCGGUUCCUGGAGCAAGUAGCAGUCAUGUAGUGCCAACAGAUAUGGAGAACCAUCAAGGAAGCAGUAGUGCUCCCUAUUCCUCUGACAUCAUGCGAUCUAAUGGUCCUGGUGUACACAUGCAAUUCAAAUCAGCAGUUGGCAAGAAUUUGAGCUCUGAUAAUCAUGGUUAUAAGAGUAUUUUAACCGAUGCACAUAUUCCCUCCACUUCUUUUUGAGGUACCAGCAAGUGAAAAU